AGUCAAGAGUCUUUGGCGCCGUUUGGUGAGUGUUUUUCUGUUGCCUUUGGAAAGGUGAAGGAAAAUG
RNAcentral lists this small RNA (67 nucleotides) under uncultured Gellertiella sp. RNAcentral's name for it is "S-element". It matches the Rfam family "S-element". Rfam says of the family: This family represents a group of S-elements from p42d and related plasmids. The record is from RNAcentral. Lineage: Bacteria; Pseudomonadati; Pseudomonadota; Alphaproteobacteria; Hyphomicrobiales; Rhizobiaceae.